UGCCAGCAGCCGCGGUAAUACGGAGGGUGCAAACGUUACUCGGAAUCAUUGGGCGUAAAGCGCGCGCAGGCGGCUGAGUCAAGUCGGAUGUGAAAUCCCUGGGCUCAACCCUAGGAUGUGCAUACAAAACUGCCUCGCUUGAAUCUCGGAGGGGGUCAGUGGAAUUCCCGGUGUAGAGGUGAAAUUCGUAGAUAUCGGGAGGAACACCAGUGGCGAAGGCGCUGCCCCUGGACGAUGAUUGACGCUGAGGCGCGAAAAGCGUGGGGAGCAAAACAGGAUUAGAUACCCCCUGGUAGUCCCACGCCCGUAAAACGAAUGAUGUGACUAGUCGCCGUGAUGGACUUGAGCCCCGUCGGUUCCGAAGCUAACGCGUUAAGCACUCCCGCCCUGGGGAGUACCGGCCGCAAGACUAAAACUCAAAGGAAUGACGG
RNAcentral lists this ribosomal RNA (431 nucleotides) under uncultured bacterium. RNAcentral's name for it is "bacterial SSU rRNA". It matches the Rfam family "Bacterial small subunit ribosomal RNA", at positions 506 to 916 of the family's 1533-position model. The record is from RNAcentral.